Molecule: ribosomal RNA, 501 nt
Filed under: uncultured soil bacterium
Lineage: Bacteria
Description: bacterial SSU rRNA
Rfam family: Bacterial small subunit ribosomal RNA
Source: RNAcentral
AGAGUUUGAUCCUGGCUCAGAACGAACGUUGGCGGCAUGGAUUAGGCAUGCAAGUCGAACGAAUCCCAAGGAGCAAUCUGAGGGGGAAGUGGCGAAAGGGGCAGUAAUACCUGGAUAACCUACCCUGGGGAUGGGCAUAGCCGUUCUAACGAGCGAGUAAUACCCAGCGAUUCGGCGGGUCGGCAUCGAUCUGCCGGGAAAUGAAUUUCGCCUCGGGAGGGGUCCAGGAGCUAUCAGGUAGUUGGUGGGGUAACGGCUCACCAAGCCUUAGACGGCUAGCGGGUGUGAGAGCACGACCCGCGCCACUGGCACUGAGACACUGGCCAGACACCUACGGGUGGCUGCAGUCGAGGAUCUUCGUCAAUAGGCGCAAGCCUGAACGAGCGAUGCCGCGUGAGCGAUGAAGGCCUUCGGGUUGUAAAGCUCAAAAGAGAUGAGAAAGGGAAACUUGAUCGAAUCUCAGUAAGCUCGGGCUAAGUUCGUGCCAGCAGCCGCGGUAAU